GAAAUUGUAAGAAAAACUUGGAAAUUUUUAUUGAAACUUUGGAGGAUGUUUAUUUAGUGAAUUAUCUAUUAGUUUAUCACAAAAAAUUGGAAGGAAAUGCAUUGCAUGAUGGAUUUAACUUAUUUAAGUUGAUUAUAUAGCGAGCUGACAAACACUGUGAGUGUAUGAGUGUAGAAAAUAUGUAGUAAUUAAUGAAAGAAGAUUAAACACA
This 211-nucleotide long non-coding RNA is filed under the name Prunus persica (peach). RNAcentral's name for it is "long non-coding RNA (PPER_LNC003617)". Lineage: Eukaryota; Viridiplantae; Streptophyta; Magnoliopsida; Rosales; Rosaceae. The record is from RNAcentral.